Molecule: transfer RNA, 72 nt
Filed under: Candidatus Parcubacteria bacterium
Lineage: Bacteria; Candidatus Parcubacteria
Description: tRNA-Arg
Rfam family: tRNA
About the family: Transfer RNA (tRNA) molecules are approximately 80 nucleotides in length.
Source: RNAcentral
CUCCUUGUAGUUCAAUGGAUAGAACAACCCCGUCCUAAGGGGUAAAUGUAGGUUCGAUUCCUACCAAGGGGA